CCUACGGGAGGCAGCAGUGGGGAAUAUUGGACAAUGGGGGCAACCCUGAUCCAGCGACGCCGCGUGAGUGAAGACGGAUUUCUGUACGUUAAGCUCUAUCUGCAGGAAAGAAAAUGACGGUACCUGACUAAUAAGCCGCGGCUAACUACGUGCCAGCAGCCGCGGUAAUACGUAGGGGGCAAGCGUUAUCCGGAUUUACUGGGGGUAAAGGGGGCGUAGGCGGCAUCGCAAGUAUGGAGGGAAAUGCCGGGGCCCAACCCCGGAACUGCUGGGGAAACUGGUAAGCUGGAGUGAACGAGAGGUAAGCGGAAGUCCUGGUGUAGCGGUGAAAUGCGUAGAUAUCAGGAGGAACACCGGCGGCGAAGGCGGCUUACUGGACCGUAACUGACGUUGAUGCUCGAAGGCGUGGGGAGCGAACAGGAUUAGAUACCCCAGUAGUC
RNAcentral lists this ribosomal RNA (440 nucleotides) under uncultured bacterium. RNAcentral describes it as "partial 16S ribosomal RNA". It matches the Rfam family "Bacterial small subunit ribosomal RNA", at positions 338 to 795 of the family's 1533-position model. The record is from RNAcentral.